Molecule: ribosomal RNA, 475 nt
Filed under: Mozena obtusa
Lineage: Eukaryota; Metazoa; Arthropoda; Insecta; Hemiptera; Coreidae
Description: partial large subunit ribosomal RNA
Rfam family: Eukaryotic large subunit ribosomal RNA
Source: RNAcentral
UGGAAGCCUCUAGGAGGGAGAUAGGGUUUGGAACGCGAAGAGCACCGCACUUACGGCGGUGUCCGGAUCUUCCCCUCGGACCUUGAAAAUCCGGGCGAGGGCCACGAGGAACACCGCGCCGGCUCGUACCCAUAUCCGCAGCAGGUCUCCAAGGUGAAUAGCCUCUAGUCGAUAGAAUAAUGUAGGUAAGGGAAGUCGGCAAACCCGAUCUGUAACUUCGGGAUAAGGAUUGGCUCUGAGGAUCGUGGCGCGCCGGGCUUGGUCGGGAAGUGGAGCGGUGCCAACGUGCCGGGCCUGGGCGAGGUGAAGGGCGCUCGUCGUCUGGACCCUAGCUCGGUCCCGUGCCUUGGCCACCCACGGACCUUCCUUGCUGCGAGCCUCCCGGCUGUCUAGUUUCCGGCCCAGCCGGAGGACGGGCCGGAAUGCUCUUCGGCCGCCAUAGAACGAUCAACUUAGAACUGGCACGGACCAGGGG